This 178-nucleotide ribosomal RNA is filed under the name [Clostridium] innocuum. Its description in RNAcentral is "16S rRNA. Bacterial SSU". It matches the Rfam family "Bacterial small subunit ribosomal RNA", at positions 1 to 168 of the family's 1533-position model. The record is from RNAcentral. Lineage: Bacteria; Bacillati; Bacillota; Clostridia; Eubacteriales; Clostridiaceae.
AUCAAAUGGAGAGUUUGAUCCUGGCUCAGGAUGAACGCUGGCGGCAUGCCUAAUACAUGCAAGUCGAACGAAGUCUUCAGGAAGCUUGCUUCCAAAAAGACUUAGUGGCGAACGGGUGAGUAACACGUAGGUAACCUGCCCAUGUGUCCGGGAUAACUGCUGGAAACGGUAGCUAAAA